This 1317-nucleotide long non-coding RNA is filed under the name Homo sapiens (human). RNAcentral's name for it is "HSALNT0100064". The record is from RNAcentral. Lineage: Eukaryota; Metazoa; Chordata; Mammalia; Primates; Hominidae.
GCCGGACUCUGCAUGAGUCACCGCCUGCCUGCAAGCCCAGAGCUCGCCGCACCCCCCUGCCUCUCCGCACCGUCCCACAGGCUGUGACCCUCCACCCAGCCAUAGACGGUUCUGCUCUUGGCACAAAGGAGGGCUUCUUAGCCGGGAAUAUGGCUGCCCGGGAGGGGCGACUUCUGUGCUUGUUUUUCCUUCCUGGCACUGAAAACAAGCACAUCCACCCAACAAAUAAAGACGCGGUCAAUGAAAGCAGCUGUGUUUCAAGGGGAGACAGGGAGCAAGCCAAGGAAUAAAUGAAAAGACCCAGUGACAAAAUGCCCAUUCAUCGGGUUCACUCGGCAAACAUUUACUGAAGCAUCUGUGUGCCAGGCACUGUCCUGAGUGCUGGGAAGACACAAAGAUGCCCUUCAGAACGAUGACCCCCGCCUCGCCCUCCGCUGGAACCGGGAGGCAGACACACACAUAAAUACGACACAGUCAACCGUCCCCAGUUCACAGCAUCUAAAGGAGCUAGGAAUGCAUGGGAUGCUUAUGGAAUGUGCGAGAACACGGGUGAGUCUCACAAAAAGAAUGUACACGGAGUACAUACUGUCGGAUUCCAUUUCUAUCAACUCCUGAAGCCUGCAGAGCUAACACCUACUGCUGGAGGGCAAGGCAGUAGCUGCUUGUUGGGGUAGGAGAUGAGGAGAACACCAAGUGGGCUUCUGGAAUGCUGGACACCCGUGUAGAGACAAAGUCUCACUGUGUUCCCAGGCUGAUCCCCAACUCCUGAGCUCAAGCCAGCCACCAGCCUUGGCCUCCCAAAGUGCUGGGAUUACAGGCGUGAGCCACCACGCCGGGCCCAGAUGAACAGACUUCAUGGCUGAGACAGAGCUGAGAGCAGAGAAAACAGACUCAUAAAAUCCUGGCAGAAUCUUUCCAUUCUAAUAGCUCAAGCUUCCCCUAUUGCACAGAAGAAAUGCAAGCCUCUUCCCUUCUGGAAUCGCACCAUGGGCAGUACUCCAGAGAGUGGAAACUCUCUGACACCAAACAAGGGACAAUUCAAGAAUAAAUGGCACCUGAGUCCCAGGAGGGCAAAGCAGAGUGAGAAAAGAAUUAGUGAGUGAUGUGGAAAGGACAACAUCCUUUCAUCCCAGAGUCAAAGCCCCGGCAAGCCUCCAGGCCUCAGCGCUCCCUCUGUCUUACAGCACAAAAACACCUUUUGUGGAUGGGAAAGGACUCAGGACGUGAUCAGACUGGCCUGCUGAGAGUAUCAUAGGGAAGUGCUGGAUGGGUUCAUGGAAAGAAGUAUACACAGAUGAGGAACAGCAGAAAGGCAUG